GGCCGAGUAGAUGGCAAGCUGUAGACUUGUUUACGGGGCAAGCCCCCCCCCAA
This 53-nucleotide transfer RNA is filed under the name Cyrtodactylus cf. intermedius. RNAcentral's name for it is "partial tRNA-Tyr". The record is from RNAcentral. Lineage: Eukaryota; Metazoa; Chordata; Lepidosauria; Squamata; Gekkonidae.